ACAUUUGAUAGUCGCCGAAGCCCGGUAUAUGAACCAAGCCGUUAACCGAUAGCGGCGUGCCUAGCAAAUACCCGGUGACUGCGAGAGUUCCGGAAUCAAGAGAGUCCUGCUUCGACGAAAAACAACCACAUGUCCGCUGCAGUAUCCAGUUCAAGAACUUUUUCUUCAGGGAGCCACUUUGUAAUCGCACGUUGCACGGAUUGUUUGUACUCCUGACGUUUCUAUCGUGUGAAAAAAAUUUUAAACACGCUAUCACGUAACACUGCACUUACUUUAAUAUGAAGUUUUUGGAUGUCGUGUACUGCCACUAUGGUAGCGGGUAAGCCUUGAGCGAGGCAAGACACGAUGACUUCCUUACCCCAAUCGU
Long non-coding RNA from Ooceraea biroi (clonal raider ant), 367 nucleotides. RefSeq lists it as uncharacterized. NCBI's taxonomy places the organism in Eukaryota, Metazoa, Arthropoda, Insecta, Hymenoptera, Formicidae. The record is from RefSeq and is a predicted model, not a curated record.